Meriones unguiculatus (Mongolian gerbil) is the source of this 1111-nucleotide long non-coding RNA. RefSeq lists it as uncharacterized. The transcript is spliced from 2 exons. The record is from RefSeq and is a predicted model, not a curated record. NCBI's taxonomy places the organism in Eukaryota, Metazoa, Chordata, Mammalia, Rodentia, Muridae.
UAAAAAUUCUCCCAGAGUGCCCCUGGAGGGGUGGUGGCCCCAUCAGUGCAACUGAGCAGACGGAUGUGCUCUCUGACCCACGAUGUGGUGCCCCUAGAAGCGGACAGUCUUCUUCCCUGGUGGGACAUCUACCCUGGACCCUUUCCUGCCCUCCUGACAGUCCACAGGAGGCUGGAUUCACUGGGGCAGGGCCACGAGGUAGCCCAGUACAGAUCCGGAUUCAACCACCGUAUGAGAGAGUUCCACUCCAGCCGUGGACCGGAUGGCGACACGUAAGGCCCAUUCUGCCUCCAGCGACCUCGGCUGUUUGCUCUACUGUUUAUUUUCAGUGGGUGCUGACUCAACCAGGAGAUGAACUCCCUCAGACUGAACGGAAGGGCCGAGCUGGGACUCUGACCCAGGGACAUAGGAGGGACCUUCCUGCAAUGGGAUGAUGUAAGCUGGGACAGUCCCUUGGGGGACGUGCAGGAAGUAGGAGAGCUGGUCUUGAGAUGGAUCAGCGGGUACUGCGGAGGAGGGGGAACACUGAAUUACUGUUAAGUCGCUGCAGAUGAUAAGAUUCUACGGUAAGAACCCCCUUUAAGGCUUGCUUUUUCUUUAAGGAAGCUAAGAUUUGGGAUGCACGGUAAUUUACUCCCCAAUUUGAUUUCGGAUGCUUCUAUGAUGUCCUGGCCAUCUUGAAUAACGGACUACCAAGUGAAGCAGCCAGCGGGGCUGUCCCCAUGCCAGUCCUUUAAACACUCCCCGGACACCUGUGAGGAGGCUCCCUGACCAUCACAGCUGCUUGCCAGCUCCAGGAGGCACUGUUUCAGAUGCGUCUGUUUCAAACAGUUUGUGCUGGACUUGGUGAACUCCACAUGACCCUGCAACCAGUUUGACCCAGGCCAGAGGGCUAGCACUUCCCCAAGUGAUGCAGCAGAAGGCCUGUGGUCAGUACAAAGACAGUCCUUUGUUUGCAUAAAAGUUUGCCAUGGUUUGAUGCAGAUGUCAGAAGCAUACCCACUUCUUGUCUACAGAAGCAGGGUGUCCAGGUCACUUUCCCAGCCAGCCUGGAGACACCUCCUUGUGUGGCCCCUGGUUUUGUGACGUUAAGUCCAAUAAGAAGAUUUUC